RNAcentral lists this ribosomal RNA (253 nucleotides) under uncultured bacterium. RNAcentral's name for it is "partial 16S ribosomal RNA". It matches the Rfam family "Bacterial small subunit ribosomal RNA", at positions 524 to 776 of the family's 1533-position model. The record is from RNAcentral.
UACAGAGGUCCCGAGCGUUGUUCGGAUUCACUGGGCGUAAAGGGUGCGUAGGUGGUUAGGUAAGUCCGAUGUGAAAUCUCCAGGCUCAACCUGGAAAUGGCAUUGGAUACUAUCCGGCUCGAGGAAUGGAGGGGAGACUGGAAUACUUGGUGUAGCAGUGAAAUGCGUAGAUAUCAAGUGGAACACCAGUGGCGAAGGCGAGUCUCUGGACAUUUCCUGACGCUGAGGCACGAAAGCCAGGGGAGCAAACGGG